UCAGACGAUGCGUCAUGCAUAUCAAUAAGCGGAGGAAAAGAAACUAACAAGGAUUCCCUCAGUAACGGCGAGUGAAGCGGGAAGAGCUCAAAUUUGAGAUCUUGAAAGGUCACCUUUCACGAAUUGUAGUUUAAAGAAGUGUUUUCUGUUACGAUCGUAAUAUAAGUUCUUUGGAAUAGGACAUCACAGAGGGUGAGAAUCCCGUCUAUGAUUGCGAUUUGUAGCUUUGUGAUACACUUUCAAAGAGUCGGGUUGUUUGGGAAUGCAGCCCAAAACGGGAGGUAAAUUUCUUCUAAGGCUAAAUAUUGGUGAGAGACCGAUAGCGAACAAGUACCGUGAGGGAAAGAUGAAAAGAACUUUGAAAAGAGAGUUAAAUAGUACGUGAAAUUGUCAAAAGGGAAGCGUUUAACACCAGUGUUGUUUUCUGAAAAUCAACCUCUGUUAGCUUUAUGCAUGUUUGUUUAGACCUAAUCAGCUAUCUUGCAUGUUCUAUUGUUUGCAGUGGUGCACUUUUCAGUUUACAGGUCAACAUCAGUUUUUUUUACCGUAAAAAAGUUAAAGAAAGGUAGCUCAUGGCUCCGGUCGUGAGUGUUAUAGUCUUUUUCCUAUGCGGUAGGAGAGACUGAGGUCCUGCAGUGUAGGCUAUUUGGCUAGAUACUCAGGUGCUAUGUGAUACCAUUUCAUAAACAACUUGUUGAUUAUGUUUUGUCUAUUGCAUACUCGCUUGUACUAUCAUACCUACGCUUAGGAUGUUGAAGACUCUACAGAGAU
RNAcentral lists this ribosomal RNA (771 nucleotides) under uncultured Neocallimastigales. Its description in RNAcentral is "partial large subunit ribosomal RNA". It matches the Rfam family "Eukaryotic large subunit ribosomal RNA", at positions 18 to 628 of the family's 3401-position model. The record is from RNAcentral. Lineage: Eukaryota; Fungi; Neocallimastigomycota; Neocallimastigomycetes; Neocallimastigales.